This 179-nucleotide ribosomal RNA is filed under the name uncultured bacterium. Its description in RNAcentral is "partial 16S ribosomal RNA". It matches the Rfam family "Bacterial small subunit ribosomal RNA", at positions 334 to 526 of the family's 1533-position model. The record is from RNAcentral.
GAUUCCUACGGGAGGCAGCAGCCGCGGUAAUAUUGCGCAAUGGAGGAAACUCUGACGCAGUGACGCCGCGUGCAGGAAGAAGGUUUUCGGAUUGUAAACUGCUUUAGACAGGGAAGAAAUAAGACAGUACCUGUAGAAUAAGCUCCGGCUAACUACGUGCCAGCAGCCGCGGUAAUAAU